Molecule: RNA transcript, 819 nt
Organism: Alosa sapidissima (American shad)
Lineage: Eukaryota; Metazoa; Chordata; Actinopteri; Clupeiformes; Clupeidae
Gene name: C-type lectin domain family 4 member F-like
Exons: 3
Source: RefSeq, a predicted model, not a curated record
UUUAUUUACGCUAUUUUUGAUAGUUUUCGUGUUAUUCUUAGUCCUUUUUACUGCUUCUAAGUCAGCUGAUGUCGUUGACAUUUGUCCAUUGGGAGCUUGCUAUGGCUAGCUUUUGCCCUAGCUUGGCAUCGGACAUCCUUCUAUCUAUCCGUGAGCGGUACAGCACUUCACUGUCUGGUCGAGUGGAUCUCUUGGGACAGCUGAAACUAGGCUACUCUGCGAAAGAUCUGCCGUGGCCGCCGAGCUGUUGCUGACCUGCGAGCUGCCUUGCCAACUGCAGACUAACGUUAACGAGAUUUGUAUUUGCGAUGAGCUGGAAAUCCAACCCAAAAGGAAAAGCCUGGGUGGGGAUGACGGACAUCGAGACAGAAGGCGAGUGGAGAUGGGUGACCAACAGCCUGGUCAGAUACAACGUUCAGUACUGGGUUCAGCGGGCUGACGGCACCAGUGAGCCGGAUGAUUGGCGCGUGUCCAAUGAGCAGGGAGAGGACUGUGGCCACAUUGACACGGCCGAGACGGAGCUCAACAGCUGGAUGGACGCACCCUGCCACACCCACUACAGAUGGAUAUGUGAGAAGGCCCUGUAGGUUGCUAUGGCAACAGAGGAACCAGAACACUGCAACACUUUGACACACAGUGCCCUCUGCUGGUUGUCAGUACAACAGCAGAACAGAAGAGUUUUUUGGCACUCUUAAAACUAGACUUUCUCUAUGAUGCUUAUUGAAGUCCAUUGCUAUUUCUGACAACAGUGUGUUUUGAACUAUAAUAGGUAGACUAUACAGCCUUUCUUACAUUAAUGAUUACAAAAUCAACUGACCU